AGUGAACGCUGGCGGUAGGCCUAACACAUGCAAGUCGAACGGCAGCACAGUAAGAGCUUGCUCUUACGGGUGGCGAGUGGCGGACGGGUGAGGAAUACAUCGGAAUCUACUUUUUCGUGGGGGAUAACGUAGGGAAACUUACGCUAAUACCGCAUACGACCUACGGGUGAAAGCAGGGGAUCUUCGGACCUUGCGCGAUUGGAUGAGCCGAUGUCGGAUUAGCUAGUUGGCGGGGUAAAGGCCAACCAAGGCGACGAUCCGUAGCUGGUCUGAGAGGAUGAUCAGCCACACUGGAACUGAGACACGGUCCAGACUCCUACGGGAGGCAGCAGUGGGGAAUAUUGGACAAUGGGCGCAAGCCUGAUCCAGCCAUACCGCGUGGGUGAAGAAGGCCUUCGGGUUGUAAAGCCCUUUUGUUGGGAAAGAAAAGCAGCAGGUUAAUACCCCGCUGUGCUGACGGUACCCAAAGAAUAAGCACCGGCUAACUUCGUG
This 492-nucleotide ribosomal RNA is filed under the name uncultured bacterium. Its description in RNAcentral is "partial 16S ribosomal RNA". It matches the Rfam family "Bacterial small subunit ribosomal RNA", at positions 29 to 507 of the family's 1533-position model. The record is from RNAcentral.